UUCAUUGUAAUUAUGAUUUUAUUUUAGAUCAGUAUUGUGUCGUUCUUAAAGGAUAGUUCAGCCAAAAAUGCCCUCAUGUCGCCCUGAACGCACAAGACUUUUAUUGAAUUUGAUCCAAAUUUUAAUGGAAAAUUUGGAAAGGCGGGACUUAGCUCACCUGUCAAUCAUCACCAUGACGCAGCCGAAUGAAGCGAGAGACAAACUUGCCUGGGACCGGGAAAUAACCUCAAUUUGUGUGUUAUUGUGUGCGUCUGUGAUUGAUUAAGAGAAGAGGAAACCAUUGAUGAAGGAUUCCACAGAAAAACGAGAGAAUGAAUCAGUGACUGUAGUGAUGCCGCUGCUGAAAGAGGAUCUGGAUGGAGUGAAUGAGCAGGAGAGUUUACUUUAAUGAGAUAAGACACGCCCACCAGUGUCAAUCACUCUGACAUCAACACUUCAUCUCCAGCUACAACAACAAAAACACAUUUCUGCUUUCAUAAGCCUCUAGAAUCCGUCCAGUGAAAGAGAGAAAUGAAGCCGUGUCUGUUGAGCUGAUGAACCUGCAUGUAAAAAGCUUCUGUGGUUUUAUAUGAACCCAGAAACACCGUAAUCAAACACUUUCUAAUGUUACACUUCAUACCUGUACCACUGUUAACAUAAUACUAGUGUGACUCUCACAGCUUUGAUUUUCUGUGAUUAUCGACAGGAAUAUGAUUUUUAUGUUUUACCACAGCAUUUGAAUUUGCUGUUUUAUGUAAUUAACACCAGUGCCAGAUUAACGUUCAUGUUCAGAACUAAUCACAUGUCUUUGAGAUCACAUGACCUUCUCUUCAUGUGUAGAAGUUCAUUAGUGUGAAUGAGACUAACAGCUUCGACCAUUCAGUGUUAUUCAGCUUCACUGUAAGUGACAGUAUUAUUGUAAAAAUAACAAUAAUUAUAACCAACUACUUAAGUUGACAAUCUUUUAUUUAUAUAUAUAUCAUUCUGUUCAUCUUCAUCUUAUCUGAAUGAUUGUAAAUGUGAGUUGAAUUUAAAGUGCCUUUAUAUUCAUGCUGAAGCACUUACAGUAGCCUUAUUGUACUUCUCAAAAAAAAAAAAAAUGGAAAAACAUUUUGCAUAAUACCACUGUGGUGUUUCUUGUGUUUUAUUAUUUUUUUCAGAAGCAUGUUAUUAAUGAAUAUUUGAAUUUAAAGUGCCUUUAUAUUCAUGCUGAAGCACUUACAGUAGCCUUAUUGUACUUCUCAAAAAAACAAAAAAAUAUUUAAUACUCAGUGUCAUGAUACCACAUUGUGGUGUUUCUUGUGUUUUAUUAUUAUUUGUUUCAUAAGCAUGUGAUUGAUGAAUAUUAUUGCUAUAUUGCUGAUCUUAAUGUCUGAUCUCUUCUGUCCUCUAGUGGACAGACACUGAUACAGCUUUUGCUUCCUAAUAAAUCUUUUAACAUUAAUUAUUGUCUAGUUGUGUUGAUUGUAAUGACAAAUGCCCAGCAAUACAACGAGACUAUAAAAUCA
Ctenopharyngodon idella (grass carp) is the source of this 1487-nucleotide long non-coding RNA. RefSeq lists it as uncharacterized. Lineage: Eukaryota; Metazoa; Chordata; Actinopteri; Cypriniformes; Xenocyprididae. The transcript is spliced from 3 exons. The record is from RefSeq and is a predicted model, not a curated record.